AACGAACGCUGGCGGCAGGCCUAACACAUGCAAGUCGAGCGCGCCUUCGGGUGAGCGGCGGACGGGUGAGUAACGCGUGGGAAUAUGCCCUUCUCUACGGAAUAGUCCUGGGAAACUGGGGGUAAUACCGAAUACGCCCUUUGGGGGAAAGAUUUAUCGGGGAAGGAUUAGCCCGCGUUGGAUUAGGUAGUUGGUGGGGUAAUGGCCUACCAAGCCGACGAUCCAUAGCUGGUUUGAGAGGAUGAUCCGCCACACUGGGACUGAGACACGGCCCAGACUCCUACGGGAGGCAGCAGUGGGGAAUCUUAGACAAUGGGGGCAACCCUGAUCUAGCCAUGCCGCGUGAGUGAUGAAGGCCUUAGGGUUGUAAAGCUCUUUCAGCUGGGAAGAUAAUGACGGUACCAGCAGAAGAAGCCCCGGCUAACUCCGUG
RNAcentral lists this ribosomal RNA (431 nucleotides) under uncultured bacterium. RNAcentral's name for it is "partial 16S ribosomal RNA". It matches the Rfam family "Bacterial small subunit ribosomal RNA", at positions 29 to 507 of the family's 1533-position model. The record is from RNAcentral.